This 492-nucleotide ribosomal RNA is filed under the name uncultured bacterium. RNAcentral's name for it is "bacterial SSU rRNA". It matches the Rfam family "Bacterial small subunit ribosomal RNA", at positions 29 to 518 of the family's 1533-position model. The record is from RNAcentral.
AUGAACGCUGGCGGCGUGCCUAACACAUGCAAGUCGAGCGAGAAGUUGCUGACGGAGAUUCGGUCAACAGAAGCGAUGGAUAGCGGCGGACGGGUGAGUAACGCGUAGGUAAGCUGCCCCCGCACACGAGGAAUAGCCUAGGGAAACCUGGAUUAAUGCCUGAUGACGCGGCGGAGUCACAUGGCUCUGUCGCCAAAAGAUUUAGUCGGUGUGGGAUGCACCUGCGUCUGAUUAGUUGUUGGCGAGGUAACGGCCCACCAAGGCGACGAUCAGUAGCCGACCUGAGAGGGUAAUCGGCCACAUUGGAACUGAGACACGGUCCAAACUCCUACGGGAGGCAGCAGUGAGGAAUAUUGCACAAUGGGGGAAACCCUGAUGCAGCAACGCCGCGUGAGCGAAGAAGGUCUUCGGAUCGUAAAGCUCUGUCCUAAGGGACGAAGAAGUGACGGUACCUUAGGAGGAAGCCCCGGCUAACUACGUGCCAGCCGCGGC